GACGAACGCUGGCGGCGUGCUUAACACAUGCAAGUCGAACGGAAGGGCCCUGCUUUUGUGGGAUGCUCGAGUGGCGAACGGGUGAGUAACACGUGAGUAACCUGCCCUUGACUUUGGGAUAACUUCAGGAAACUGGGGCUAAUACCGGAUAGGAGCUCCUGCUGCAUGGUGGGGGUUGGAAAGUUUCGGCGGUUGGGGAUGGACUCGCGGCUUAUCAGCUUGUUGGUGGGGUAGUGGCUUACCAAGGCUUUGACGGGUAGCCGGCCUGAGAGGGUGACCGGCCACAUUGGGACUGAGAUACGGCCCAGACUCCUACGGGAGGCAGCAGUGGGGAAUAUUGCACAAUGGGCGGAAGCCUGAUGCAGCAACGCCGCGUGCGGGAUGACGGCCUUCGGGUUGUAAACCGCUUUCGCCUGUGACGAAGCGUGAGUGACGGUAAUGGGUAAAGAAGCACCGGCUAACUACGUG
This 468-nucleotide ribosomal RNA is filed under the name uncultured bacterium. RNAcentral describes it as "partial 16S ribosomal RNA". It matches the Rfam family "Bacterial small subunit ribosomal RNA", at positions 28 to 507 of the family's 1533-position model. The record is from RNAcentral.